Molecule: ribosomal RNA, 253 nt
Filed under: uncultured bacterium
Lineage: Bacteria
Description: partial 16S ribosomal RNA
Rfam family: Bacterial small subunit ribosomal RNA
Source: RNAcentral
UACGGAGGAUGCAAGCGUUGUCCGGAAUGAUUGGGCGUAAAGCGUCCGCAGGUGGCGAUGUAAGUCUGCUGUUAAAGAGUGAGGCUCAACCUCAUAAGAGCAGUGGAAACUACAUAGCUAGAGUGCGGUAGGGGCAGAGGGAAUUCCUGGUGUAGCGGUGAAAUGCGUAGAGAUCAGGAAGAACACCGGUGGCGAAAGCGCUCUGCUAGGCCGCAACUGACACUGAGGGACGAAAGCUAGGGGAGCGAAUGGG